AAACCCAGUUUUAAGUCUGAUAUGGGCUGUGUUAAUCUCUGGUGUGCUACCUUGGACUUCAGAAUAAUUACAUGCAAUGGAAUAUUGCCCACUGAGCCUUUGCUGACUCUCACAUUGCCACGAAGGAUAAAGGAUCUGAGUUUUCUUUUGUGUGAGAGUACCUGAACACCCAACAUCUCCAAGAGUGCAGUAAUGCUCCUGAGGGCACUUGAGUACUGCUGGCAUUGGACAUCACUGGUGGAGGAAACAGCAUGGCAAUCUUCUGCUAACAGCUUAGCUGAAUCCCAGGAAACUGAUUGAGAGGGUUUUAUAUUUAUUUGUUCUCUUUCACCAGGAAGAACUGACUGAGCCCAGCACAAGUGAUCUGUAAAGCCAGAAGAAGCCUUCUCCACUUGGAUGAUCACAUGUUCAUGUACCCCCACACUCACAAAAUGGAAAACUGGUGAAAAUGGAGAAGAGGAUCAUGAUAGUCUGAGUAGACAAUUCAGAUAUUUCAUAGCAGUCCCCUGGAUAAAGGCUGUAAAGUGGAGCCAUGCCAAGUCAAGAGACCUAAAGUUUUUUACAAGAACUCUUAUAUCAACACUCAUGUCCCUUAGUUUUAACCUGCUGGAGUUAUGUAUAAUUAAUGUAGAGGUUGAGAAAGUCAUCUGACAUCAGCAUAAAGAAAAUGUUAAGCUUUCUCAGUUCCUAGCGCAUGAUUUUUAAGACAUUUUAAUCCCCUCCCUUUUAAGUGUGGAUUUACUGGGGAGGUCAAGGGGUCAUUAACACUUCCCCUGCUCCUCUACCUUUAACAGGCAAACUCAUCAAGGACUGGUGUUAGAUAGUAUUAUUUCAUUAAUGUACAUACCUGUACUUGGGUUUUUUCCUUCAGCCAAGUCCUCGUCAUCCUAUUUCUUUAACAGUAUUUGAAGUUUAGAAAUUAUCUUUCAUUUAAAUAUUGUCAGCUCAAAACAGACCUUACUGUUUUUAGAUGUUGCAGAUGUUCUGGGAGGAAGAAAGGAGGUUUGCCCAAAAUUGUUUUGCUUGCUAUAGCAAGGACCAGAGCCACAAUGGAGAAGAUGUUCCACCCUGUUGCACCAAUGACUGUACAUCGCUCUUUGGGUAGUAGAGAGGGGCAAGAUCUUCACUAGGAAGCCUCUUGCUGGAGAUGGACAAAAUAGAUGAAAUUAAAAUGGGAUAACUGGCACUCUAUCAAAUGUGGUAAAGCAAGGAUAAUUCCUCUGCCUGCUGUAGAGGCAGGCUGAUACCUGCCUACAUAUCUCUUUUUGAAAGUCACUCAAGGAUACACUGUUUUAUACAGCCAAAUACUCCUCGAUAUGUAAAUUUAUUUAGUCAGUGUCAUUUUAUGGUUAUGUACACAAAGGCAAAAGAACAUGACAUCACUAAGUGCACCCUCAGACACCAAGUAGAAUAGUAUGGCUGACACACCUGAAGGAAGGGGUGCUAUCCAGAGGAACCUGGACAAGUGCAGAAAGUGGUUGCAUGGGAAUCUCAUUAGAUUUAAGAAGACCAAGUGCAUGGUACUGCACCUGGAUCAGGGCAACCUGUACUCUCAAUACAGACUGGGGAUGAACAGAUCAAGAGCCGGCCAAGAAGGGCUUGGGGGUGCUGGUUGAUUAGAUGCUGGACAAGGAAAGUGUGCACUUCCAGCCCAGAAAACCAAUCAUACCCUGGGCUGCAUCCAAAGCAGGGAGGGGAUUUUGCCUCUCUGCUCUGCUCUCAUGAGACCCCAUCUGCAGUUCUGCACCCAGCUUUGGGGCCCUUAGGACAGGACACAUCAACUUGUUGGAGUGAGUCCAGAAGAGGGCCACUAAGAAGAUUAGAGGAAAGGAGUACCUCUCCUGUGAGGAAAGAGGAAAAGAAUUUGGACUAUUCAGCCUGGAGAAGAGAAGACUGCAGGAAGACCUAUCUGUGGCCUUCCAGUACCUGAAGGGAGACCACAAGACUGGUGGAAUGGGAUUGUUUACAAGAGCAUGACAGGACAAGGGAGAAUGGCUUUAAACUGACAGAGAGUAGGUUUAGAUCAAAAGAAGUUGUGUAAGGGUGGUGAGGCACCAAAGGUGAGGUGUCUUAGGUUGCAAAUGCAAGAUGUGGCUGGGGGUGUGUAUUCUAUUGCCACCUGUUGCAACCAGGUGGGGCAGUUUUCUUUAUCUCUUCCACAACCCACACACUCUAGGAGAUAUCUUCUGUUAUUGGGCCAUUGAGUGUCACUGCAUGACUGAUAAAAUGACAUCAUCCCAUUGUGAGAUGCUCUGCCCAGCAGAGGAGCCAAGCAUUCCUACCUAGAUAUAAUCUGAGAUUUGAAAGUCAACCUUUUCCCACUGGAUUCCCAGAGAAGCAGCCUUUUUGCCAGUGGAUUCCCAGAAGAAGACCAGGCCCAUCUACACCACCACUAGACCUUCAGAAGAAAACUACACUCUUCUACAAUUUCAUUGUUUCAACAGAACCACAUCUGUCACUCCAGGAGGACGGCAGCCACCAUUCAGUCAGACUGCUACCCACACCCUAACCAACAGGGUGUCAGGCUGUAUUCUGACUCUGUCAUUGUUGUUUCUUAUUUCUGCAUUUUUAUUUUUACUUUUAAGUUUCCUGAUAAAGAACUGCUAUUCUUACUCCCA
Molecule: long non-coding RNA, 2618 nt
Organism: Lonchura striata (white-rumped munia)
Lineage: Eukaryota; Metazoa; Chordata; Aves; Passeriformes; Estrildidae
Source: RefSeq, a predicted model, not a curated record